GCUUACGGCCAUACCUACCCUGAAAACGCCCGAUCUCGUCCGAUCUCGGAAGCUAAGCAGGGGCGGGGCCUGGUUAGUACUUGGAUGGGAGACCGCUGGGAAUACCAUGGUGCCGUAAGCU
This is a ribosomal RNA of Phycodurus eques (leafy seadragon), 121 nucleotides long. NCBI's taxonomy places the organism in Eukaryota, Metazoa, Chordata, Actinopteri, Syngnathiformes, Syngnathidae. The record is from RefSeq and is a predicted model, not a curated record.